AUUGAACGCUGGCGGCAGGCCUAACAUAUGCAAGUCGAGCGGAUGAAGGGAGCUUGCUCCUGGAUUCAGCGGCGGACGGGUGAGUAAUGCCUAGGAAUCUGCCUGGUAGUGGGGGAUAACGUCCGGAAACGGGCGCUAAUACCGCAUACGUCCUGAGGGAGAAAGUGGAGGAUCUUCGGACCUCACGCUAUCAGAUGAGCCUAGGUCGGAUUAGCUAGUUGGUGGGGUAAAGGCCUACCAAGGCGACGAUCCGUAACUGGUCUGAGAGGAUGAUCAGUCACACUGGAACUGAGACACGGUCCAGACUCCUACGGGAGGCAGCAGUGGGGAAUAUUGGACAAUGGGCGAAAGCCUGAUCCAGCCAUGCCGCGUGUGUGAAGAAGGUCUUCGGAUUGUAAAGCACUUUAAGUUGGGAGGAAGGGCAGUAAGUUAAUACCUUGCUGUUUUGACGUUACCAACAGAAUAAGCACCGGCUAACUUCGUG
Molecule: ribosomal RNA, 484 nt
Filed under: uncultured bacterium
Lineage: Bacteria
Description: partial 16S ribosomal RNA
Rfam family: Bacterial small subunit ribosomal RNA
Source: RNAcentral